Alnus glutinosa is the source of this 1020-nucleotide long non-coding RNA. RefSeq lists it as uncharacterized. The record is from RefSeq and is a predicted model, not a curated record. Lineage: Eukaryota; Viridiplantae; Streptophyta; Magnoliopsida; Fagales; Betulaceae. The transcript has 2 exons.
UUCCUUCUUUUUCGCUUCCUUUCUCCCCUGCCCUUUCUUUCUUCUUUCUUGCUCUUCUUUUCUUUUCGUCCCAAACGAGAGAGAGGUUAGAGAGAAACCGAUAGAGAUGGAGAGAAACAGAGAGCUUGAGAGAAGAGGCGUGCGGUGCGCUAGCCACCGUUUGGGGCGGACGACGGCCCCGGGCCGGUGGGUCGCGGCCCAACGCCAGUGAGGCAAAAAAGCUUGGAGUUCCGGCAUUUUCUCGGUACCGAAACAGUAGAAAAUUCAGUUUUUUUGGGUAAGUAUAAUUUUUAGGCUUGAUUUCUUGAUUUUUGUUUUGAUUUGGGUUGUUUUGUGAAGAUUUUCGUUAUACCCACUUAUUCCGGUUCUAUAAUGGUAAAAAUCAACCACCAAAACAGGUAUAUAUUUUGUUUUAUGCUUUCAUUUUUUUUUUUCCAAGUUUUCCUGGUAACCAAUCAGAGAUUAACGUGUUUUGUAUCUGAACUAUACUUUAUUUUCAUACGUAUUCGUCAGUACCAUAAUGGAUUUUCUAGUUUCUUGGAAUUUUCUCUGAGUUGGAAUUGAUCUUCCAGCAAUUGAAGUCCGAUUUGAGCACCUAAACAUUGAAGCAGAAGUUCAUGUAGGAGGCAGAGCCUUGCCUUCCUUCUUUAACUUCAUUAUAAACAUCCUAGAGAUGUAUGAAAUGUAAUGGCAAGGGAAAGAUAUAUGCUCUGCCUAUAAAGGUCAAUGUUUUGUAUUCAUUUUUAUAGUCAUCAUAGGUUUCGGUAUACAAUCUCAGAAUAUUUGUCGUCCGUAAUUUUAUUGAGUUCUAUGGCGGCAUCUGGUAAAUCGAAGCUCAUAGAUGGAGAGACAUUUUUAUAACUACGUGGAGAAUUUGUCUGUUGAUAAUUGAACUUAAUUAGUUGCUCAUUCUUUACAAGGUCUUUUGCUGUAUUAGAUCAGACAAUAGUUUAGUCUUAUUUGGACUUGCUCAGUGUAGCAAUGAGACAUGCAUAAAGAAAAAAACUUGGAUUGAUUUUA